RNAcentral lists this long non-coding RNA (217 nucleotides) under Lathyrus oleraceus (garden pea). RNAcentral's name for it is "Pisum sativum (pea) long non-coding RNA (PSAT_LNC039929)". Lineage: Eukaryota; Viridiplantae; Streptophyta; Magnoliopsida; Fabales; Fabaceae. The record is from RNAcentral.
UCAAGUGGUCCAUAUUUUUCAGAUUUAAUUGAUUUUUAUUUUAUUCCUUUUAUUUUCAUUAAUUCAUAUUAAAUUUAAUAUUGAUCCAAAAAAUAUGAGAGUUUCACCAAAAAAAUUUAAAUAAAAUCCUGUUUUAUUUUCUGAAUUAAAAUUAUUUUUUGCAUCAUUAUUAAUAUUUUUCAUGAUUUAAUUUAUUUUGUGAAUAUUUUUAAUUUUU